RNAcentral lists this ribosomal RNA (465 nucleotides) under Vreelandella stevensii. RNAcentral describes it as "partial 16S ribosomal RNA". It matches the Rfam family "Bacterial small subunit ribosomal RNA", at positions 338 to 795 of the family's 1533-position model. Lineage: Bacteria; Pseudomonadati; Pseudomonadota; Gammaproteobacteria; Oceanospirillales; Halomonadaceae. The record is from RNAcentral.
CCUACGGGGGGCUGCAGUGGGGAAUAUUGGACAAUGGGGGCAACCCUGAUCCAGCCAUGCCGCGUGUGUGAAGAAGGCCCUCGGGUUGUAAAGCACUUUCAGUGAGGAAGAACGCCUGGUGGUUAAUACCCAUCAGGAAAGACAUCACUCACAGAAGAAGCACCGGCUAACUCCGUGCCAGCAGCCGCGGUAAUACGGAGGGUGCGAGCGUUAAUCGGAAUUACUGGGCGUAAAGCGCGCGUAGGUGGCUUGAUAAGCCGGUUGUGAAAGCCCCGGGCUCAACCUGGGAACGGCAUCCGGAACUGUCAAGCUAGAGUGCAGGAGAGGAAGGUAGAAGUCCCGGUGUAGCGGUGAAAUGCGUAGAGAUCGGGAGGAAUACCAGUGGCGAAGGCGGCCUUCUGGACUGACACUGACACUGAGGUGCGAAAGCGUGGGUAGCAAACAGGAUUAGAUACCCUAGUAGUC